Molecule: long non-coding RNA, 344 nt
Organism: Panicum virgatum (switchgrass)
Lineage: Eukaryota; Viridiplantae; Streptophyta; Magnoliopsida; Poales; Poaceae
Exons: 2
Source: RefSeq, a predicted model, not a curated record
CAAGGAGGUUGCCAGCCAUUCCCAGCUGACUGAUGCGGCCUCUCUCCUUCGGAUGUGACGGCAGAGCUCCUCCAGAAGGCCAAUCAAGAUGAAACUGGUGCAGAAGGAAGGGCAUCAAGCAACAACACUGUGAUCAAUGGAUAGAAGACUUAAGAAGAAGCUUCCUCUCAGGGAAUGCCCUGUACUAGUUCCAUGUUGUCUAUUUUUAAGCUUAUCUUGGGUUAAAUUUCGUAUCUGUGAUUGCUGGAUAUUGUGGUGGCAGCCUAAACCUGAAUGGUGUCUUGUGUGGCCUUCUUUUGCGAACUCGAGUUUAAUUAUUCACGUACUCCAUUUUCUUGGUGAAA